CUGGAAGUACAUGGACCGAGUUGAGCAGAGUGGAUAUAGGAUCCAUGUCAAUCUCAACUAGUUCAUGGCAUUUUGAAUUGGGCAUCCUUCUUGAUCCAAUUUGAGUGGAGUCCAUGUAAAUAUGCACAUUUUUCCUUAUGUACUGCAACAGAUCCUUUUGUAACUAAAUGACCUUGAUGGAAGAAAUUAAGCAUGGUGGUUCACUUUCAUGGUUUAAUUCCUACAGGUCAUAGGAGUUUAGUCAGAAUGAGUGGCUGUAUGGAUUUCUUUGAUGGCUACCAAAUAUUUACCUCAUCCUACUUGGACUGUAUGUUCCAUUUUUCCGUAGCUAUAAAAGACUAAUAAUUAGGAAAAAUAUCAUCAUUAUAACUAGAUGAUUUUGACUUUCCUAAAUGUCAAAAUAAAAAGGCUGAUCCUGAUAUUGCUUCAUCUCGAUUAUGUUGGAAAUUUGCCUUUUCAGGUGACAUCAUGAGAUCCAGUGGUCCUAAAAUUGAUUACAUGUGUAUAUUUCUGGUAGGAGUGAUCAGUAAGAUUUUAAAUUGAUUACCUAUGUAUAUUUCUGGUGCGAGUGAUUUCUUAAGAUUUUGUGUGAGUUGUCAAUUACAGCUGCUAAAGAAAUCUGUAUGGUAAUGACAGCUAUGGACUCUAUUGAAGGAUAAUGGUAUCCAAUUUAGCAAAGAGCAAAUUUUUUGACUCUGUUUCUCUCUUUUGCUUUUGUUCAAACUUACCUUUUAAAUCACAAAAGAGACAAAAGACCAAGGUCAUCUAGGGUAAGCUAUUCCUAUCAUGUCUGCUUGGACCACACCUUGUUCCCAUGAGCUGUGUCAGCUCCGUGGCUCUCUUAUGGUCAAGAAUCAGCUUAUAUAUUUGCUUCCUCGAUGAUAUGAUUGAUCAGAACCAGUAGCCGUAUGCUAGUAAUAAACAGUUUGCAGAAACAGGCCUAAUGGGGUGAUCUUGAUGAGGCUAAAGCUGUUUGAUACUCGAGUCAGUUGGCAAGGGUAGCUCCUCUCAAGUCCUUCCUUUUCAAGUAUUUGCGGACUCCACAUUUUGAUAAACCUUAUUGUCCACAUUUCUCCACUAGACGGGUGGCUUGUCCAGAUAGCAUAGGAUUUGAUCCAUUUGGUAUUUUGGAAUUGGUCAGAGCUAUCAUAUUUGCUAUUUAAGAAAAUAUUAAUUUUAUUUAAUUGUUUAGACUGGAUUUCUGGACUUGCCUUGUACAGAAUAAUUAAAUGCUAUGUUGCUUGGACUCAUUACUUUGGAUGCCACACCUAUAUUGACCUGACAUGGGUGUAGGUGUGAGAUAUGUAUGGGAUAUAGUAAACCAAUUUUGGGUAUUUCAAUUAAAAUUGUCGAAAAAAUACAAUAAUUUUUGAAAAUUAAAACA
RNAcentral lists this long non-coding RNA (1384 nucleotides) under Nicotiana benthamiana. RNAcentral describes it as "long non-coding RNA (NBEN_LNC020504)". Lineage: Eukaryota; Viridiplantae; Streptophyta; Magnoliopsida; Solanales; Solanaceae. The record is from RNAcentral.